GGGGAAUUUUGGACAAUGGGCGCAAGCCUGAUCCAGCCAUGCCGCGUGUGUGAAGAAGGUCUUCGGAUUGUAAAGCACUUUAAGUUGGGAGGAAGGACUGCAAGUUAAUACCUUGUAGUUUUGACGUUACCAACAGAAUAAGCACCGGCUAACUUCGUGCCAGCAGCCGCGGUAAUACGAAGGGUGCGAGCGUUAAUCGGAAUUACUGGGCGUAAAGCGUGCGCAGGCGGUUGUGUAAGACAGGUGUGAAAUCCCCGGGCUUAACCUGGGAACUGCGCUUGUGAGUGUACGGCUAGAGUACGGCAGAGGGGGGUAGAAUUCCACGUGUAGCAGUGAAAUGCGUAGAGAUGUGGAGGAAUACCGAUGGCGAAGGCAGCCCCCUGGGUUAGUACUGACGCUCAUGCACGAAAGCGUGGGGAGCAAACA
This 426-nucleotide ribosomal RNA is filed under the name uncultured beta proteobacterium. RNAcentral's name for it is "bacterial SSU rRNA". It matches the Rfam family "Bacterial small subunit ribosomal RNA", at positions 356 to 774 of the family's 1533-position model. Lineage: Bacteria; Pseudomonadati; Pseudomonadota; Betaproteobacteria. The record is from RNAcentral.